UAGGGAAUCUUGCGCAAUGGGCGAAAGCCUGACGCAGCCAUGCCGCGUGUAUGAUGAAGGUCUUAGGAUUGUAAAAUACUUUCACCGGGGAAGAUAAUGACGGUACCCGGAGAAGAAGCCCCGGCUAACUUCGUGCCAGCAGCCGCGGUAAUACGAAGGGGGCUAGCGUUGCUCGGAAUUACUGGGCGUAAAGGGCGCGUAGGCGGAUACUUAAGUUGGGGGUGAAAGCCCGGGGCUCAACCUCGGAAUUGCCUUCAAUACUGGGUAUCUUGAGUUCGGGAGAGGUGAGUGGAAUGCCGAGUGUAGAGGUGAAAUUCGUAGAUAUUCGGCGGAACACCAGUGGCGAAGGCGACUCACUGGCCCGAUACUGACGCUGAGGCGCGAAAGCGUGGGGAGCAAACA
This 402-nucleotide ribosomal RNA is filed under the name uncultured Phenylobacterium sp. Its description in RNAcentral is "bacterial SSU rRNA". It matches the Rfam family "Bacterial small subunit ribosomal RNA", at positions 355 to 774 of the family's 1533-position model. The record is from RNAcentral. Lineage: Bacteria; Pseudomonadati; Pseudomonadota; Alphaproteobacteria; Caulobacterales; Caulobacteraceae.